GGACAAUGAAAAGUUAGAAGAUAAGGUUUGCCAUGGAAAUAUGAGGAUUUAUAAAGAUACACAUUUUUAACAAAGCGUAAUAUUAAAAUAUGGUUUUCAAAAGCACGCAUAGGCAAAUUUCUAUGUUCUAUUCACCAUUCAUUCAACAAGUAUUGAGUAACUACUGCAUAACUGGCAUUGUCCUAGGCACAGAGGCUAACAGCAGUGAACAAAAUGGCAAUGUUCCAUCUUGCAUGGUCCUUGUUUAGUGGGGAAGCACAAAGAAUGUGUGUUUAAUAUGAUAUGAUGUAAUAUAGUGCCAGAUGGUAGGAAGAGCUAUCAAGAAAAAAUAAUCCAGGGUAAGAGGAUAAAGAGUGAUGGCAAGUAGUAUAGGGUUAGGGUUAGGGUUAGGGAAGGUCUCUCUAAGGAGCCUCUAUUUCAGCAGAGACAUGAAGUCUGGGAGCAAGCUAUGAGAAUAUUUGGGUGAACAGUAUUCUAAACAAAGGAAACAAGUAUAAGGACUUGACGCUUAAACGAGUUUGGAUUGUUUAAAGUACUGAAAGAAGGUUACUGUGGUUAAAACAUUGUGAAUGAAAUGAAGGGAAAAGUAGUAGAAGAUGAGAUUGGGAAGAAAACUGGGUGCCAGACCUCAUAUGUUGUUUUGGGAUAUGAAAAGAACUUUUAAGUUUUAUUUUAGGGUGAUGGAGAACCACUGGAAGAUUCUGAGGAUAGGACUUUGUGCUUUGUGAUGUGCUUUAUGUUUUAAAAGGGUUACCUGGCAACUGUGUGGAGACAGCCCAGAAAUAGAAAUAGGGUGAAAUAAUCCAAGAGUGGAAGCUGAGAUACCAGCUUGGAAAUUAUUGCAGUUAUUCAGGGAACCUAAAUUUGAGGUCAAGGAUCAAAACGAGCCUUCUCUCUGUCAAGAGAUUUCUACUUAGACUUAUGUCUUCUGCAAUGUCUUCUGCAAAUGAUUUACUGAAGGCUUAUGUUUUCAAAUUACUUUCAUACACGGUAUAAUUUGACCUUCAUAUAACCACCCUGAAAGGGCCAGG
Molecule: long non-coding RNA, 1031 nt
Filed under: Homo sapiens (human)
Lineage: Eukaryota; Metazoa; Chordata; Mammalia; Primates; Hominidae
Description: HSALNT0369558
Source: RNAcentral